RNAcentral lists this ribosomal RNA (735 nucleotides) under uncultured bacterium. RNAcentral describes it as "partial 16S ribosomal RNA". It matches the Rfam family "Bacterial small subunit ribosomal RNA", at positions 21 to 762 of the family's 1533-position model. The record is from RNAcentral.
GGCUCAGAUUGAACGCUGGCGGCAUGGUUAAAACAUGCAAGUCGAACGCGAACGGCUUCGGCCUAGUAGAGUGGCGAAAGGGCGAGGAAUAAGUAACUAACGUGCCUUCAGGUGAGGGAUAGCUCAGGGAAACUUGUGGUAAUACCUCAUGAUCCCGUCGGGUCGUAUGGCCUGUCGGGCAAAGGCUUGCUGCCUGAAGAUCGGGUUACUUCCUAUCAGCUAGUUGGUGAGGUAACGGCUCACCAAGGCGAAGACGGGUAGCUGGUGUGAGAGCACGACCAGCCGCAUCGGGACUGAGACACUGCCCGGACUCCUACGGGAGGCUGCAGUAACGAAUAUUCCGCAAUGCGCGAAAGCGUGACGGAGCAAUGCCGCGUGUGGGAUGAAGCAUCUAGGUGUGUAAACCACUGUCAGGGUUUANGAAAACAAUGACCAGACCCAAAGGAAGAGCCGGCUAACUCUUGUGCCACAGCNCGCGGUAAUACAGAGGGCUUCGAGCGUUAAUCGGAAUCACUGGGCUUAAAGGGUCCNCANGCGGACAAGAAAAGUUUNUUGUGGAAAUANCAUGGCUCAACCAUGGNAUUGCUCGGUAAACUUNCUUGUUUUNAACACCGUNGGGGGCCCAUCCGGAACCUUUAGUUGGAGCGGUGAAAUGCCNUUNNAUUUUUUAUAGGAACCCCCNNAAGCNAAAGCCGNAAUGCUNGNNCNNNUGUUUNCCCUCAANNANAAAACCCU